This 158-nucleotide ribosomal RNA is filed under the name ascomycete sp. IZ-1109. RNAcentral's name for it is "5.8S ribosomal RNA". It matches the Rfam family "5.8S ribosomal RNA". Rfam says of the family: 5.8S ribosomal RNA (5.8S rRNA) is a component of the large subunit of the eukaryotic ribosome. Lineage: Eukaryota; Fungi; Ascomycota. The record is from RNAcentral.
AAACUUUCAAUAAUAGAUCUCUUGGUUCUAGUAUUAAUAAAGAACGCAGCGAAAUGCGAUAAGUAGUGUAAAUUAUAGAAUUUAGUAAAUCAUCAAAUCUUUAAAUGUAUAUUGCGCCCUUUGGUAUUCCUUAGGGCAUGCCUAUUUAAGCGUUAUUU